RNAcentral lists this ribosomal RNA (253 nucleotides) under uncultured bacterium. Its description in RNAcentral is "partial 16S ribosomal RNA". It matches the Rfam family "Bacterial small subunit ribosomal RNA", at positions 524 to 776 of the family's 1533-position model. The record is from RNAcentral.
UACAGGGGGGGCAAGCGUUGUUCGGAAUUACUGGGCGUAAAGGGCUUGUAGGUGGCCAACUAAGUCACACGUGAAAUCCCCAGGCUUAACCUGGGAACUGCGUGUGAUACUGGAUGGCUUGAAUCCGGAAGAGGUGAGUGGAAUUCCUGGUGUAGCGGUGAAAUGCGCAGAUAUCGGGAGGAACACCAAUGGCGAAGGCAGCUCGCUGGGACGUUACUGACGCUGAGACGCGAAAGCGUGGGGAGCAAACAGG